UCGAAACAGUCAUUUUGUACACCAAAUCUCAUGGCGUCGAAAACGCACGUAUACAAAUUGCCCCCCAGCAAAGACGUUUCGACUGUUGUUCUGGAGAAACAGUCAUUUGUUGUCAAUCAGUGCUUUGAUGCCAUGUCAUUCAAUCUUCAUUAAAUGCAAGUCUGAUAAUCUCAAUUCCCAAUGCAGGUUCAUCAUUACACUUUCUC
This 206-nucleotide long non-coding RNA is filed under the name Lathyrus oleraceus (garden pea). RNAcentral describes it as "Pisum sativum (pea) long non-coding RNA (PSAT_LNC037666)". Lineage: Eukaryota; Viridiplantae; Streptophyta; Magnoliopsida; Fabales; Fabaceae. The record is from RNAcentral.